RNAcentral lists this unclassified non-coding RNA (469 nucleotides) under Panicum effusum. RNAcentral's name for it is "partial miscellaneous RNA". Lineage: Eukaryota; Viridiplantae; Streptophyta; Magnoliopsida; Poales; Poaceae. The record is from RNAcentral.
CUACUAUGAUAUAGGAANUUUUUGAAGGAAAGGAAAGCCGAAAAAUACCCAAUAUCUUGUUCCAACAGGAUAUUGGGUAUUUCUUUGUUUAUUCUGAAUCUUUCUAUUCUGAAUUCACUUAACGACGAGAUUUAGUAUCCUUUCUUGCACUUUCAUAACUCGUGAAAUGCCGAGUAGGCACGAAUUCCCCCAAUUUGCGACCUACCAUAGGAUUUGUUAUGUAAAUAGGUAUAUGUUCCUUUCCAUUAUGAAUCGCGAUUGUAUGGCCAACCAUUGCGGGUAGAAUGCUAGAUGCCCGGGACCACGUUACUAUUAUUUCUUUCUCCUCCUUCAUAUUAACCNUUUUCGAUUUUUGCCAAUAAAUGACGAGCUACAAAAGGAUUCGUUUUUUUUUCGUGUCACAGCUGAUUACUCCUUUUUUUCAUUUUAAAGAGUGGCAUCCUAUGUCCACUAUCUCGAUCGAGGUAUG